Pungitius pungitius (ninespine stickleback) is the source of this 950-nucleotide long non-coding RNA. RefSeq lists it as uncharacterized. Lineage: Eukaryota; Metazoa; Chordata; Actinopteri; Perciformes; Gasterosteidae. The record is from RefSeq and is a predicted model, not a curated record. The transcript has 6 exons.
UACAGCGUCGCGUGCGAAUGACGUCAUCAACCGCGCUGGGCCGCUUGUGGAUGACGUCAUUCACAUGCAGCUGCGAUCGUAUCUUUCGCGCCGAAAGAUAACGGCUGGGACUAAGUAAAAAGUAGUAAAAAUGGAGACAUAGCGAAACGCUGAUGUCUCCAUUUUUACUGCUUUUUACUACUUGAAUGGACUGAGGGUGAUGAUAGUGGGGCGCAUAGUAUUUUGGCGAUUGACUGUGUCCGGAACUUUUCAGUUCAAGAUUUUUUUGCCUCGACUGAACAAAACGAGAAGCUGGUGGAAUGGCGAAACGGCCGCCAACCCUGGCCGGUUCACCCAGCCAAAAUUAUUGACGUGGCAAGGGAAGACUGAGAAGGCUUAAAAAAAGGUAACUGACUGCACCAAUUGGUGCUUUAGUUUAAGUUAUCUCCCCUCUCUUGUUUCUUAAUGUGUAUGUUUGUAGGUUUGUAAUUGUGUCAUCUAUGAUGAUUUAAUGUGCUUUGCCAAGAUAUAUGUGCAAGGUGGUGUAACGCAAGUUAAUAAGAGUUGGGCUAAAAGUCAGUGUCUUGUGGGUUGACAGUAAAAAGGGAGGGUCUUCCAAAAACAAGCACCAGGAGGGUGAGAAGCAGGAGGAGGGUCAUGACAGACUUUCAAAGAACAAGGUUGUCGUGAAAAAGAAAAAUGUUUCUAAAUACGAGACAGGAGGAGGAGGAGAAAGUGGAUGAUGAGGCGCGUCAUGACACAAAGAACAAGGUGGGAAGCCAACCAGAGGGGACGGGGAGCAGCUGGUUGCCCUGGACAAAAUAAAAAAGGCAGCCAUUAUUGGCAUCAAUGGAGACUGGAUAAGAUGCUACAUUGAAGAAAUGGCCGGCAGCCAGCCGAGGGCAGAUAGGAACAGCUAUAAAUUCCAAGCUCGCAGAGAUGCGAAGAUCCAUUAAAUGAUUUUUUUUGUU